Molecule: ribosomal RNA, 253 nt
Filed under: uncultured bacterium
Lineage: Bacteria
Description: partial 16S ribosomal RNA
Rfam family: Bacterial small subunit ribosomal RNA
Source: RNAcentral
UACGGAGGGGGCUAGCGUUGUUCGGAAUUACUGGGCGUAAAGCGCACGUAGGCGGCUUUGUAAGUUAGAGGUGAAAGCCCGGAGCUCAACUCCGGAAUUGCCUUUAAGACUGCAUCGCUUGAAUCCAGGAGAGGUGAGUGGAAUUCCGAGUGUAGGGGUGAAAUUCGUAGAUAUUCGGAAGAACACCAGUGGCGAAGGCGGCCUGCUGGGCUAUGGCUGACACUGAGGCGCGACAGCGUGGGGAGCAAACAGG